AACACAUGCCUCACUCCAGCUCCAAGUCAGGUCACACCUCGGAGCCCUGCGUCCUGUAUCCCCGAUAGGCUCCUGAAGGCUGGGCCUUUCCAGGAUAGCCUUCUGGCCUGUCUCUGCCCCAACCCUGACCCUCCCUACCUCCAUAGAGGUGAGCAGGAAGACUGGCACUUACAUGACACCGGGCUUGGAGCACUGGCUGCUCGUCUCAAAGUAGUCAGCUAUGAAAUUCUGUGGAAUCUGCCGGGAGGUGUAGCUGAAGCAGCAGGCGGUCGGCGUGUCAGCAGCAACUGUGGAGAAAGGAAGAGAAUGAGCCCGAGUCACAGCUCAGAAGAAAAGGCCAGGCAGCUUCUGAUCCCCGAGCAGUUGAGGAAGGCAGGCUUGCUCAGACCAAGUGACUGGAAGGCAUUUGGGCAUUUUUGCUGAGAAAUGUCUCUUUGUUUCUGUCUGUAUCCUUCUUUCUCCUUGACUCUUCAUAGUGGGUUCUCUGUUUCUCUGUGUGAUCCAGAUACCUGAACGGACUGUUCUCUUAUCUCAGUUCUCUUCAGGGAAUUUUGUCUGGUUCAAGAAGUCAUACCCCAACCCAAGAGAAGCCUUGGACAUCUCUCAUAAGACAUCCAAGGGACAGAGCUCCUGGGAGACCUAGAGUGAGCUGGAGAGUGAACAACAUACCCCACUGGGAAGCCACAAGAAAAGAUUGAUGUGGUCUAACCAUGGCCAGAGAGUGGUGAUACCCACAACGAAACUCAGACUCACGUGAUGCAGAGAACUGGUUGCAGAGAGCCAUGGUGCAGAGGAGGACAGCAAGGGCAGCAGUGGAGACCUGCAUGAUUCUGAGCAGGUGACGGAAUGUGGGCUCGAGUGUCAGCAGAGCCAAGAAAGGACUGACCACUGUCUGCUGCCCGUGUCCUUCUGAAGUCUGAAACCAGCUCUCCUCUUUAUAGGCAGCCCUGGCGGAUGGGGAAAUGGAAUCUGGGGGUGAGGAGGGAAAUUUUUAAGCGUAGUGAUGCUGUCAUGCUAAGUUGCACAACUCAGGGUCCCUGGUGACCACAGGGGCUCAGGAUAUC
Molecule: long non-coding RNA, 1064 nt
Filed under: Homo sapiens (human)
Lineage: Eukaryota; Metazoa; Chordata; Mammalia; Primates; Hominidae
Description: HSALNT0239870
Source: RNAcentral